This is a non-coding RNA of Salvia hispanica, 2061 nucleotides long. Lineage: Eukaryota; Viridiplantae; Streptophyta; Magnoliopsida; Lamiales; Lamiaceae. The record is from RefSeq and is a predicted model, not a curated record.
GGAGACUGUUGGAAUUUUUAUUCACAGCAACACUUGACCCACUGCUUCCCUCUCCCUUCUAAUCCAAGUUUUCAUCACUCCAUUUCUCCCAUUUUCUCCACUCCGCCAAACUUUGCAAAAAAAACACAUGAUUCAGUAAUGAAACGAGCUCAUAUCAACCGAAAAUGUUCAUUGCCCCUAAUUUUCGCAUCCAUUUCAGCCCUCAUACUCAUCUUCAUCUCAAUUCUAUCCCACCUCAAACCCAAUAAUUCCUCUUUCCCCACCCCCAUCUCCGAUCUCCCAGACUUCCCCCAAUUGCCGCGAUUCGCCUACUUCAUUUCCGGCACAAGCGGCGACGGCGCGAGCCUGAGGCGGCUGCUUCAGGCCUCGUACCAUCCGCGCAAUUACUAUCUCCUUCAUCUCGAUUUGGAGGCCUCCGACUCCGAAAGGCUAGACCUCGCCAAGUAUGUCAAGUCUGCACCACUAAUUCGGAGCUUCAGGAAUGUGAUGGUGAUGGGGAAGGGCGACUUGCUCACCCCCAAGGGCCCCACGGAGAUGGCCUCCACGCUGCACGCCAUCGCCAUUCUUCUCAAGCAGCCCAAGCGCUGGGAUUGGUUUGUUAACCUUGGUGCUUCCGAUUAUCCGCUUAUGCCUCAGGAUGAUUUGCUGCACAUUUUCUCCUACUUGCCUAGGGAUCUGAAUUUCAUUGAGCAUACUAGUGACUUUGGUUGGAAAGAACACCAAAGAGCUAGGCCUAUAAUAAUUGAUCCUGGAUUGUAUCACUCAAAGAAAUCUGGUGUUUUCUGGGCCAAGGAGAAAAGAUCAUUGCCUGCUUCUUUCAAAUUAUUCACUGGUUCUGCUUGGGUGGUUCUUUCAAGGUCGUUUCUCGAGUUUUGCAUCUGGGGAUGGGAUAAUCUCCCACGCACUCUCCUCAUGUACUAUACAAAUUUCCUCUCAGCGUCAGAGGGAUAUUUCCACACCGUGAUGUGCAAUCACAAGCACUAUCAGAACACAACGGUGAACCACGACCUGCACUUCAUAAAGUGGGAGGACACUAGGAGGGAACAGCCCGUGAAUUUGACCCUAGACGACUUUGAGAGGAUGGUGGAAAGCGGGGCCCCAUUCGCUCAUAAAAUUGGGAGCGACGCUGUUCUUAAUAAAAUCGACAGAGUUCUACUGAGAAGAUCAGCCAGCCAGUUUACUCCUGGGGGUUGGUGUAUGGCUAGCUAUGGGCGUAAACAGGAGGAUUCUUGUCUGGUUUAUGCUAGUUCAGAUGUCACUAAACCAUCUUCAAGUUCGAAAAGGUUGGAGAUGCUUGUGACUCACCUGCUCGAUAACGAUCAAUUUCGUGGAAAACAAUGUAAAUAAUCUUUAUUAUCCUUGUCCAAACAAUGAAGCCCCUGUCGAUAAACAAAGAGAAGGCGAUGGAUCCAGCGUGAGGUACGACCUACUCGUGCGUGGGAGUCUUGCAUGCAGCACAACUGCUUACAUGUCAUCGCCUAAUUGCUUACGCGGCUAAGAAUCGGGUCACCAGCAACCCUACCAACACGUUUUUCGGUAUCAAUUCUAUUUUCUUUUUGAAUUUAAAUUAUACCUCUCUUUGAUUACUCGUGAGGCGUUUUGUUUAUAAGGUCAUCUCUAACCAUUUACAUCAAACUUAAAUUUUAUACACCAUUGCAUGGAUGUUACACAAAUUUUUUGCAGUAGCUAUAGUACACACCCAUACUUGAUGUUGUUCCAUAGAAAAACGCAAAAAUUGGUUUGGAUUUGCAGUAUGAUUGGAGAAGUUUUUUACACAAAAAAAAUCAAAUUUCGUGUAUGGUUGGAGAUAUUGUCUAACGUUGAACUUGUCCUAUUGAGAUGAGCUUGAUAACUUUUCAUUGUCUUGUGUUGAUUUCUAGGGAAUAAGCAUGUAUUAUUGUAAUCGAUGUAAUCAAACUUAAUAUAUGUUCUCUUUAUUUCAAGUGGCACAUUUGAUAAACUUGGGAGAGUUAGAUUAAUUAGUCUUCAUCAGAUUUUAAGAGUAUGUAUAUUUUUCUAAUUAAUCUUCUUCUUCAUGUAAUGAGUCAUGAAUUUUAUGUA